GUAGGUGGCAAGCGUUGUCCGGAAUUAUUGGGCGUAAAGCGCGCGCAGGCGGUUCUUUAAGUCUGAUGUGAAAGCCCACGGCUCAACCGUGGAGGGUCAUUGGAAACUGGGGAACUUGAGUACAGAAGAGGAAAGCGGAAUUCCACGUGUAGCGGUGAAAUGCGUAGAGAUGUGGAGGAACACCAGUGGCGAAGGUGGCUUUCUGGUCUGUAACUGACGCUGAGGCGCGAAAGCGUGGGGAGCAAACAGGGAUUAGAUACCCUGGUAGUCCACGCCGUAAACGAUGAGUGCUAAGUGUUGGGGGGGUUUCCGCCCCCUUAGUGCUGCAGCUAACGCAUUAAGCACUCCGCCUGGGGAGUACGGCCGCAAGGCUG
This 374-nucleotide ribosomal RNA is filed under the name uncultured organism. Its description in RNAcentral is "partial 16S ribosomal RNA". It matches the Rfam family "Bacterial small subunit ribosomal RNA", at positions 527 to 896 of the family's 1533-position model. The record is from RNAcentral.